AUUGAACGCUGGCGGCAGGCCUAACACAUGCAAGUCGAGCGGAUGACGGGAGCUUGCUCCUGGAUUCAGCGGCGGACGGGUGAGUAAUGCCUAGGAAUCUGCCUGGUAGUGGGGGACAACGUUUCGAAAGGAACGCUAAUACCGCAUACGUCCUACGGGAGAAAGCAGGGGACCUUCGGGCCUUGCCCUAUCAGAUGAGCCUAGGUCGGAUUAGCUUGUUGGUGAGGUAAUGGCUCACCAAGGCGACGAUCCGUAACUGGUCUGAGAGGAUGAUCAGUCACACUGGAACUGAGACACGGUCCAGACUCCUACGGGAGGCAGCAGUGGGGAAUAUUGGACAAUGGGCGAAAGCCUGAUCCAGCCAUGCCGCGUGUGUGAAGAAGGUCCUCGGAUUGUAAAGCACUUUAAGUUGGGAGGAAGGGUUGUAGAUUAAUACUCUGCAAUUUUGACGUUACCGACAGAAUGAGCACCGGCUAACUCUGUGCCAGCAGCCGCUGUAA
Molecule: ribosomal RNA, 500 nt
Filed under: uncultured bacterium
Lineage: Bacteria
Description: partial 16S ribosomal RNA
Rfam family: Bacterial small subunit ribosomal RNA
Source: RNAcentral